This 233-nucleotide ribosomal RNA is filed under the name uncultured bacterium. Its description in RNAcentral is "partial 16S ribosomal RNA". It matches the Rfam family "Bacterial small subunit ribosomal RNA", at positions 544 to 776 of the family's 1533-position model. The record is from RNAcentral.
UUCGGAAUCACGGGGCGUACAGAGUUCGUAGGCGGUCUGGAAAGUGGGGUGGGAAAUCCCUCGGCUCAACCGAGGAACUGCGCUUGAAACUACCAGACUCGAGGGAGAUAGAGGAAAGCGGAACUGAUGGUGGAGCGGUGAAAUGCGUUGAUAUCAUCAGGCACACCGGUGGCGAAGGCGGCUCCCUGGGUCUCUACUGACGCUGAGGUACGAAAGCCAGGGUAGCGAACGGG